AUGAACGCUGGCGGCGUGCCUCAUCCCUGCAAGUCGAGCGAACAGACGAGGAGCUUGCUCCUCUGACGUUAGCGGCGGACGGGUGAGUAACACGUGGAUAACCUACCUAUAAUACUGGGAUAACUUCGGGAAACCGGAGCUAAUACCGGAUAAUAUAUUGCACCGCAUGGUUCAAUAGUGAAAGACGGUUUUGCUGUCACUUAUAGAUGGAUCCGCGCCGCAUUAGCUAGUUGGUAAGGUAACGGCUUACCAAGGCGACGAUGCGUAGCCGACCUGAGAGGGUGAUCGGCCACACUGGAACUGAGACACGGUCCAGACUCCUACGGGAGGCAGCAGUAGGGAAUCUUCCGCAAUGGGCGAAAGCCUGACGGAGCAACGCCGCGUGAGUGAUGAAGGUCUUCGGAUCGUAAAACUCUGUUAUUAGGGAAGAACAAAUGUGUAAGUAACUAUGCACGUCUUGACGGUACCUAAUCAGAAAGCCACGGCUAACUACGUG
This 496-nucleotide ribosomal RNA is filed under the name uncultured bacterium. RNAcentral describes it as "partial 16S ribosomal RNA". It matches the Rfam family "Bacterial small subunit ribosomal RNA", at positions 29 to 507 of the family's 1533-position model. The record is from RNAcentral.